Molecule: ribosomal RNA, 366 nt
Filed under: Pseudomonas sp. LR14
Lineage: Bacteria; Pseudomonadati; Pseudomonadota; Gammaproteobacteria; Pseudomonadales; Pseudomonadaceae
Description: bacterial SSU rRNA
Rfam family: Bacterial small subunit ribosomal RNA
Source: RNAcentral
GAGAGAAGCUUGUUCUCUUGAGAGCGGCGGACGGGUGAGUAAUGCCUAGGAAUCUGCCUGGUAGUGGGGGAUAACGUUCGGAAACGGACGCUAAUACCGCAUACGUCCUACGGGAGAAAGCAGGGGACCUUCGGGCCUUGCGCUAUCAGAUGAGCCUAGGUCGGAUUAGCUAGUUGGUGAGGUAAUGGCUCACCAAGGCGACGAUCCGUAACUGGUCUGAGAGGAUGAUCAGUCACACUGGAACUGAGACACGGUCCAGACUCCUACGGGAGGCAGCAGUGGGGAAUAUUGGACAAUGGGCGAAAGCCUGAUCCAGCCAUGCCGCGUGUGUGAAGAAGGUCUUCGGAUUGUAAAGCACUUUAAGUU